AUUGAACGCUGGCGGCAUGCCUUACACAUGCAAGUCGAACGGCAGCACGGGAGCAAUCCUGGUGGCGAGUGGCGAACGGGUGAGUAAUAUAUCGGAACGUGCCCAGUCGUGGGGGAUAACGUAGCGAAAGCUAUGCUAAUACCGCAUACGAUCUAUGGAUGAAAGCGGGGGAUCGCAAGACCUCGCGCGAUUGGAGCGGCCGAUAUCAGAUUAGGUAGUUGGUGAGGUAAAGGCUCACCAAGCCGACGAUCUGUAGCUGGUCUGAGAGGACGACCAGCCACACUGGGACUGAGACACGGCCCAGACUCCUACGGGAGGCAGCAGUGGGGAAUUUUGGACAAUGGGCGCAAGCCUGAUCCAGCAAUGCCGCGUGCAGGGUGAAGGCCUUCGGGUUGUAAACUGCUUUUGUACGGAACGAAACGGCGAGCUCUAAUACAGUUUGCUAAUGACGGUACCGUAAGAAUAAGCACCGGCUAACUACGUGCCAGCCGCCGCGGUAA
This 500-nucleotide ribosomal RNA is filed under the name uncultured bacterium. RNAcentral describes it as "partial 16S ribosomal RNA". It matches the Rfam family "Bacterial small subunit ribosomal RNA", at positions 30 to 523 of the family's 1533-position model. The record is from RNAcentral.